RNAcentral lists this ribosomal RNA (449 nucleotides) under uncultured bacterium. Its description in RNAcentral is "bacterial SSU rRNA". It matches the Rfam family "Bacterial small subunit ribosomal RNA", at positions 355 to 801 of the family's 1533-position model. The record is from RNAcentral.
UAGGGAAUAUUGGACAAUGGGUGAGAGCCUGAUCCAGCCAUGCCGCGUGCAGGAAGAAGGCGUUAUGCGUUGUAAACUGCUUUUUGCCAGGGGAUAAAAAGACCGUGCGCGGUUAAUUGAAGGUACCUGGUGAAUAAGCCACGGCUAACUACGUGCCAGCAGCCGCGGUAAUACGUAGGUGGCAAGCGUUGUCCGGAUUUAUUGGGUUUAAAGGGUGCGUAGGUGGCCCUGUAAGUCAGUGGUGAAAUAUCUCAGCUUAACUGAGAGGGUGCCAUUGAUACUGCAGGGCUUGAGUACAGAUGAGGUAGGCGGAAUUGACGGUGUAGCGGUGAAAUGCAUAGAUAUCGUCAAGAACACCGAUAGCGAAGGCAGCUUACCAAGCUGUAACUGACACUGAGGCACGAAAGUGUGGGGAUCAAACAGGAUUAGAUACCCUCGUAGUCCCUGAG